AAUUUAAAUAGCUUAAAUUUAGAGCAUGACACUGAAGAUGUUAGGGUGAUUAUUAUAAUCUUUAGAUA
Molecule: transfer RNA, 68 nt
Filed under: Anopheles lindesayi
Lineage: Eukaryota; Metazoa; Arthropoda; Insecta; Diptera; Culicidae
Description: tRNA-Phe
Rfam family: tRNA
About the family: Transfer RNA (tRNA) molecules are approximately 80 nucleotides in length. Their secondary structure includes four short double-helical elements and three loops (D, anti-codon, and T loops). Further hydrogen bonds mediate the characteristic L-shaped molecular structure. tRNAs have two regions of fundamental functional importance: the anti-codon, which is responsible for specific mRNA codon recognition, and the 3' end, to which the tRNAs corresponding amino acid is attached (by aminoacyl-tRNA synthetases). tRNAs cope with the degeneracy of the genetic code in two manners: having more than one tRNA (with a specific anti-codon) for a particular amino acid; and 'wobble' base-pairing, i.e. permitting non-standard base-pairing at the 3rd anti-codon position.
Source: RNAcentral